Molecule: ribosomal RNA, 252 nt
Filed under: uncultured bacterium
Lineage: Bacteria
Description: partial 16S ribosomal RNA
Rfam family: Bacterial small subunit ribosomal RNA
Source: RNAcentral
UACGUAGGGGGCAAGCGUUGUCCGGAAUUAUUGGGCGUAAAGCGCGCGCAGGCGGUGAUUUAAGUUUGGUGUUUAAGCCCAGGGCUCAACCCUGGUACGCACCGAAAACUGGGUCACUUGAGUACAGAAGAGGAGAGUGGAAUUCCACGUGUAGCGGUGAAAUGCGUAGAGAUGUGGAGGAACACCAGUGGCGAAGGCGACUCUCUGGUCUGAAACUGACGCUGAGGCGCGAAAGCGUGGGGAGCAAACAGG